CCUACGGGAGGCAGCAGUGAGGAAUCUUGGGCAAUGGACGCAAGUCUGAACCAGCCACGUCGCGUGCAGGAAGACGGCUCUAUGAGUUGUACACUGUUUUUGUACGAGGGAAAAUCCCGAUACGUGUAUAGGGAUGACAGUAUCGGAAGAAUAAGGAUCGGCUAAAUCCGAGUAAACAGCCGCGGUAAUACGGAGGGUUCAAGCGUUAGCCGGAUUUAUUGGGUUUAAAGGGUGCGUAGGCGGUUCGAUAAGGUAGAGGGGGAAGUCCUGGGCUCAAAUCCGGCACUGCCUCUGAUUAUGUCGAGCUAGAGUGUAGUUGCGGUAGGCGGAAUGUAUGGUGUAGCGGUGAAAUGCGUAGAGAUCA
This 364-nucleotide ribosomal RNA is filed under the name uncultured bacterium. Its description in RNAcentral is "partial 16S ribosomal RNA". It matches the Rfam family "Bacterial small subunit ribosomal RNA", at positions 338 to 699 of the family's 1533-position model. The record is from RNAcentral.